CCAGCUUGUAGAGAGUGCCUGAGAGGCCUGGA
This 32-nucleotide non-coding RNA is filed under the name Homo sapiens (human). The record is from RNAcentral. Lineage: Eukaryota; Metazoa; Chordata; Mammalia; Primates; Hominidae.